UGGCCAAAUCCCAAGGGAAGACCCAAGGAGC
This 31-nucleotide non-coding RNA is filed under the name Homo sapiens (human). Lineage: Eukaryota; Metazoa; Chordata; Mammalia; Primates; Hominidae. The record is from RNAcentral.